UACGUAGGGGGCGAGCGUUGUCCGAAUUUACUGGGCGUAAAGCGCGCGUAGGCGGGCUCUUAAGUUGGGGGUGAAAUUCCGGAGCUCAACUCCGGAACUGCCUCCAAAACUGGGUGCCUUGAGGUAUGGAGAGGGAAGUGGAAUUCCUGGUGUAGCGGUGAAAUGCGUAGAUAUCAGGAGGAACACCUGUGGCGAAGGCGGCUUCCUGGCCAUAUCCUGACGCUGAGGUGCGAAAGCUAGGGGAGCGAACGGGAUUAGAUACCCCGGUAGUCCUAGCCGUAAACGAUGGAUACUAGGUGUUAGUGGUAUCGACCCCACUAGUGCCGUAGCUAACGCAUUAAGUAUCCCGCCUGGGGGGUACGACCGCAAGGUUGAAACUCAAAGGAAUUGACGGGACCCCGCACAAGCGGUGGAGCAUGUGGUUCAAUACGUCACUAACCGUAGAACCUUACCCAGGCUUGGCAUCCGCUGUAAGUCCGUGAAAGCGGUACCCUGCUGUAGUAAUACAGCACAGCGAGACAGGUGUUGCAUGGCUGUCGUCAGCUCGUGUCGUGAGAUGUUGGGUUAAGUCCCGCAACGAGCGCAACCCUCAUCCGAUGUUGCCAGCGUAAAGUCGGGAACUCUUCGGAAACUGCCCGUGUGAGCGGGAGGAAGGUGGGGAUGACGUCAAGUCCUCAUGGCCCUUAUAGGUGGGGCUACACACGUCAUACAAUGGCUGGUACAGAGGGUUGCCAACCCGCGAGGGGGAGCUAAUCCCAUAAAACUAGUCGUAGUCCGGAUCGCAGUCUGCAACUCGACUGCGUGAAGUCGGAAUCGCUAGUAAUCGCGGAUCAGAAUGUCGCGGUGAAUACGUUCCCGGGUC
RNAcentral lists this ribosomal RNA (862 nucleotides) under uncultured bacterium. RNAcentral describes it as "SSU rRNA". It matches the Rfam family "Bacterial small subunit ribosomal RNA", at positions 524 to 1380 of the family's 1533-position model. The record is from RNAcentral.